RNAcentral lists this ribosomal RNA (449 nucleotides) under uncultured bacterium. RNAcentral's name for it is "partial 16S ribosomal RNA". It matches the Rfam family "Bacterial small subunit ribosomal RNA", at positions 28 to 523 of the family's 1533-position model. The record is from RNAcentral.
AGCGAACGCUGGCGGCAGGCUUAACACAUGCAAGUCGAGCGGGCCCUUCGGGGUCAGCGGCAGACGGGUGAGUAACGCGUGGGAACGUGCCCUUCGGUUCGGAAUAACCCUGGGAAACUAGGGCUAAUACCGGAUACGCCCUGAUGGGGAAAGGUUUACCGCCGAAGGAUCGGCCCGCGUCUGAGUAGCUUGUUGGUGAGGUAACGGCUCACCAAGGCGACGAUAAGUAGCUGGUCUGAGAGGAUGAUCAGCCACGCUGGGACUGAGACACGGCCCGGACUCCUACGGGAGGCAGCAGUGGGGAAUAUUGGACAAUGGGGGCAACCCUGAUCCAGCCAUGCCGCGUGAGUGAUGACGGCCUUAGGGUUGUAAAGCUCUUUUACCCGGGACGAUAAUGACGGUACCGGGUGAAUAAGCCCCGGCUAACUUCGUGCCAGCCGCCGCCGUAA